Molecule: ribosomal RNA, 468 nt
Filed under: uncultured bacterium
Lineage: Bacteria
Description: partial 16S ribosomal RNA
Rfam family: Bacterial small subunit ribosomal RNA
Source: RNAcentral
GACGAACGCUGGCGGCGUGCUUAACACAUGCAAGUCGAACGGAAAGGCCCUGCUUUUGUGGGGUGCUCGAGUGGCGAACGGGUGAGUAACAAGUGAGUAACCUGCCCUUGACUUUGGGAUAACUUCAGGAAACUGGGGCUAAUACCGGAUAGGAGCUCCUGCUGCAUGGUGGGGGUUGGAAAGGUUCGGCGGUUGGGGAUGGACUCGCGGCUUAUCAGCUUGUUGGUGGGGUAGUGGCGUACCAAGGCUUUGACGGGUAGCCGGCCUGAGAGGGUGACCGGCCACAUUGGGACUGAGAUACGGCCCAGACUCCUACGGGAGGCAGCAGUGGGGAAUAUUGCACAAUGGGCGGAAGCCUGAUGCAGCACCGCCGCGUGCGGGAUGACGGCCUUCGGGUUGUAAACCGCUUUCGCCUGUGACGAAGCGUGAGUGACGGUAAUGGGUAAAGAAGCACCGGCUAACUACGUG